GCGGUUGCUGCUGACUUCAAAGGCACUGCUUCCCUUGGAUCCACAUCAAGGACUGGAAUGAGAAAAGGGUCCCCUGACCUUCUUAUAUCACCUCGCCUAAGUGUCCCCAGCGGUGCUCUGCAGAGCAGAGGCCCCAGCUCCAAAACAACAGAACACAAAGUACUUUAACCUUUGAAUGUGGCAAGACCUCCGUGAAAAAUCGUUUCUCAGCCCAUUUGAUGGGAAAAGGGUGCUAUUUUUGUGACUACCUGUAACAUCUGAGUAUGCUCGUCAGAAGUCACUCCGAGGAAAAAUCUGAUUAUUAGUUGGGAAAAUGGGGCAAGGAGGAGGCAGAGAAGAGAAGUAGCUCUGCUGGGUAUGUGGCAGUGUGACUUCUAGAACUGUUUGUGUCCAUGUGGACUUGGACAAGCCACUUCAGGACUCUGGGUCUGGGUCUUCUCAUCCAAAACAAGGUAGGGAAGAGCCGCGCAGCCAGCAGAGCUGCUGCCUUCAGCACUGGGGACCCCAGGGCAGACAUAGGGCUUCUGCCUUCUGCCCAUUCCACAUGCUGGAGUCCUCCUCGGGGUGCAGUCCUGGCAAGCGUGUGUGUCUGUGGUCAAGACGACAGACCUUUCCUGCCAUUGCUUUAGUGGGAAAAUUGCAGAAAAAGGACUACAAACACCUCUGCAGUCUUCCUUUGAUUAAUGAAAUCAGGGCAUUACUCAGAAUUGCUCCUGGGGGCGCAGUGACCCACGCAUGUAACCCAGUAUUUUGGGAGGCUGAGGCAGGUGGAUCACAUGAGG
This 782-nucleotide long non-coding RNA is filed under the name Homo sapiens (human). Its description in RNAcentral is "HSALNT0377677". Lineage: Eukaryota; Metazoa; Chordata; Mammalia; Primates; Hominidae. The record is from RNAcentral.